RNAcentral lists this ribosomal RNA (773 nucleotides) under uncultured bacterium. RNAcentral's name for it is "bacterial SSU rRNA". It matches the Rfam family "Bacterial small subunit ribosomal RNA", at positions 8 to 796 of the family's 1533-position model. The record is from RNAcentral.
AGAGUUUGAUCCUGGCUCAGGACGAACGCUGGCGGCGUGCUUAACACAUGCAAGUCGAGCGGUAAGGCCUUUCGGGGUACACGAGCGGCGAACGGGUGAGUAACACGUGGGUGAUCUGCCCUGCACUUCGGGAUAAGCCUGGGAAACUGGGUCUAAUACCGGAUAUGACUCCUCAUCGCAUGGUGGGGGGUGGAAAGCUUUAUUGUGGUUUUGGAUGGACUCGCGGCCUAUCAGCUUGUUGGUGAGGUAAUGGCUUACCAAGGCGACGACGGGUAGCCGGCCUGAGAGGGUGACCGGCCACACUGGGACUGAGACACGGCCCAGACUCCUACGGGAGGCAGCAGUGGGGAAUAUUGCACAAUGGGCGCAAGCCUGAUGCAGCGACGCCGCGUGAGGGAUGACGGCCUUCGGGUUGUAAACCUCUUUCAGUAGGGAAGAAGCGAAAGUGACGGUACCUGCAGAAGAAGCGCCGGCUAACUACGUGCCAGCAGCCGCGGUAAUACGUAGGGCGCAAGCGUUAUCCGGAAUUAUUGGGCGUAAAGAGCUCGUAGGCGGUUUGUCGCGUCUGCCGUGAAAGUCCGGGGCUCAACUCCGGAUCUGCGGUGGGUACGGGCAGACUAGAGUGAUGUAGGGGAGACUGGAAUUCCUGGUGUAGCGGUGAAAUGCGCAGAUAUCAGGAGGAACACCGAUGGCGAAGGCAGGUCUCUGGGCAUUAACUGACGCUGAGGAGCGAAAGCAUGGGGAGCGAACAGGAUUAGAUACCCUGGUAGUCC